Molecule: ribosomal RNA, 533 nt
Filed under: uncultured bacterium
Lineage: Bacteria
Description: bacterial SSU rRNA
Rfam family: Bacterial small subunit ribosomal RNA
Source: RNAcentral
AGUAUUCCACCUGGGGAGUACGCCGGCAACGGUGAAACUCAAAGGAAUUGACGGGGGCCCGCACAAGCGGAGGAACAUGUGGUUUAAUUCGAUGAUACGCGAGGAACCUUACCCGGGCUUAAAUUGCAGAUGAAUUACGGUGAAAGCCGUAAGCCGCAAGGCAUCUGUGAAGGUGCUGCAUGGUUGUCGUCAGCUCGUGCCGUGAGGUGUCGGCUUAAGUGCCAUAACGAGCGCAACCCUUGUUGUCAGUUACUAACAGGUUUCGCUGAGGACUCUGACAAGACUGCCAUCGUAAGAUGUGAGGAAGGUGGGGAUGACGUCAAAUCAGCACGGCCCUUACGUCCGGGGCUACACACGUGUUACAAUGGGGGGUACAGAGGGCCGCUACCACGCGAGUGGAUGCCAAUCCCAAAAACCUCUCUCAGUUCGGACUGGAGUCUGCAACCCGACUCCACGAAGCUGGAUUCGCUAGUAAUCGCGCAUCAGCCACGGCGCGGUGAAUACGUUCCCGGGCCUUGCACACACCGCCCGUC